Long non-coding RNA from Carassius gibelio (silver crucian carp), 2730 nucleotides. RefSeq lists it as uncharacterized. The transcript has 4 exons. The record is from RefSeq and is a predicted model, not a curated record. NCBI's taxonomy places the organism in Eukaryota, Metazoa, Chordata, Actinopteri, Cypriniformes, Cyprinidae.
UGUGAGGCGAGGGCCGCUGUUAGCCUGGUAAUACCAGACUCUGCUACUUAACUUUGCUUCGUAGACAGAGUCUGGAAUGGCAUAAUAGAGAAGUGUUUUCUCUCUCGCUUGGGGGCGCUUGUCUGAAGUUUAAAAUCAUUGGUUACCCGUAAGCCAAUCAGAUACGUUUGGUCAUGACGUAUGUUAUGCGCCUGUACAGCCGCAUCGAAGCACAGACAUCAUGCAUUGAACUCAAAUCUAUGAUUGAACUUCCACUGUAAACCUGUUGUUAAACACUCUUCUUGUUCUGGCUUCAGUUUGAAAAAGAGUUGAAUGUUCUCCAUAACAGAGCGAAUUGCAUCCCGUGUCUCAUUUCCCAUUUCCGCGGUCGUUUCGGUUUUCGAUUUCUCUAACCUACAAUUUAAAACUCUGCGCUUAGCAUCUACGUCACUGCUCUCAGCCCGCCCUCUGUUCGUUGAUUGGCCCGGCUGUUUCCAGACUGGUGGCAAACAGAAAGCUCUGACCCUGUUUUAGACUGAGUACAGAAGCGAAAUGAAAUUGAGCGGAAGUAGGAAGUCUGACGUAGUCAGGCUAGGCCGCUGUUAUGGCUGCUCCCAAAGGUCACACUCGGCCACAGGCACUAGAAAAUGGGCUGUUGUAGAAAUAAAGAGGAUUUAGGAGCUCGGGCCGUCACUUCCCGAUGAGUAAUACAGCACAGAGAUCUGAGAAAGUAUGUUAUUUCCACUCAGCAGCUCUCUGGAGGAAGAAGAUCUUGUCAAAUUUACUUCAGCCUUUGAUUGGUCGUGUUUUCGUAACGGAAUCCAUCUUCAAACAGCUGGCAAAGCACGAGGAUCAGGCCUGACCGCGGUCACUGCACGCCUUGACCUGCAAUACUAAUUUGUUUGACUUUACAGUUCGAGCGGUGCUCAGGAGUUCAAAGUGUCAUGUGAUCUCAUUCUGACCCAACAGGCUCUCUGUCAGACUUCAGAUUCAUGAAUGAUAAACAAGAGUUCACACUGCCAACACUCUCACACACACACACACACGUUUGUUUUUGUGUAAAGUGUGUUCAUCCCAUAGGUGUAAUGGUUUUUAUACUGUACAAACUCUAUAUUCUAUGGCCCUACACCAACCCUACACCUAACCCUAACCCUCACAGGAAACUUUUUUUGCAUUUUUACUUUCUCAAAAAAAUUCAUUCUGUAUGAUUUAUAAGUGUUUUGAGAAAUGGGGACAUGGAUUAUGUCCUCAUAAGUCACCCUCUCCUUAUAAUACCUGUGUCAUACCCAUAUCAUUAUUCAGUUUGUUUUGAAAAUUAGGAUCUAAUGAACACAAAUGUAUCAGUGUUUUAUCGUUGUGUACGUGCUAGUCCUGUCUGUCUCUCCUGUGUGUUUUUGUUAAAAUGUGGAUCAAGUGCUGCCAGAUGAGUCUCAAUCUGACAAACAGGGUUAAUGUGUGAUGAACAGCAGAAAAGAAACUCGCCAGAAUGCUAACAUUGCUCUUGUUCUGUGAAAUAAAAAGUGUUUUGAAUGUUUACAUUUAUAAGGGCUUAAAUUUCUCCUGUAUGAGAGAAGCAGCUUUCACUCUCAACCAAACUAACAUUACUAACAUUACUAACAAAUUGCAAAUACAGCCGUUCAGGCCAGUAAAAUUAAUAUUUGUGGCCAGUAAAUUAGUAGAUGUUGUCAGUCAUUUGCUGACACUGUGUGUGUUUUAGCUGCUGAACAUCUGCAUUGAGGGCUGGGGGAACUGGCACUGGGCUGAACCCUCCAGUGUUGACUCCCCUGUAAAGACCUUGUCUCAGAGGACCACCGGGACAAGACCACAGGAAACAGAUGAUUCUUCUGCACAAUCUGACUUUGCUGCAGCCUGGAAUUGAACUACUGGUUUCAUCUGGUCAGAGGAGAACAGCUCACAGGAGUCCAGAAACAAGUGCCCUGUUGUAAUGGAUCACUGCUGCGUGUCUGCUGCACACAAAUCCUGCUGGAGCCAGAUACACACAUGCAGCAGAGAGUGUCACCUGCCAGAUCCGGUUCUGGUUCAUGUGGAGAAAAAGGAAUCUGGGUCACAGAGACACACCGCUCAUUCACGGCUGCGGCCACCAGGAGGCGCUGCUGAACAUGGAUGAAGAUCUGACACACCACCUCACCUUCCAGACCAGCCACCAGAUCCAGUCUGUAUCCAGAUCAGAGGGUCACUGCAGUCACCCGGAUCCAGUACGUAUCCAGACCAGAUGGUGGAUCAGCACCUAGAAAGGACCUCUACAUCCCUGGAAGACAGUGGAGACCAGGACAAAUAGAGCCCAAGAUACAGAUCCCCUGUAAAGACCUUGUCUCAGAGGAGCACCGGGACAAGACCACAGGAAACAGAUGAUUCUUCUGCACAAUCUGACUUUGCUGCAGCCUGGAAUGUAACUACUGGUUUCGUCUGGUCAGAGGAGAACUGACCCCUCAACUGAGCAUGGUUUCUCCCAAGGUUUUUUUCUCCAUUCUGUCACGAUGGAGUUUCGGUUCCUUGCUGCUGUCGCCUCUGGCUUGUUUAUUUGGGGUCACGUCAUCUACAGCAAUAUUGUUGACUUGAUUGCAAAUAAAUGCACAGACACUAUUUCACUGAACAGAGAUGACAUCACUGAAUUCAAUGAUGAACUGCUUUAACUAUCAUUUUGCAUUAUUGACACACUGUUUUCCUAAUGAAUGUUUUUCAGUUGCUUUGACGCAAUGUAUUGUGUUUAAAGCUCUAUAUAAAUAAAGG